Long non-coding RNA from Lynx canadensis (Canada lynx), 3094 nucleotides. RefSeq lists it as uncharacterized. The record is from RefSeq and is a predicted model, not a curated record. Lineage: Eukaryota; Metazoa; Chordata; Mammalia; Carnivora; Felidae. The transcript has 3 exons.
AGCGAAGCUGUGCGAGGCCUUCUGUGUUGGGUCGGGGUUUUCCAGAAGCGUACGUGGACUCGAAAACUCAGGCGCAAGUGCGUUUUUGAGGCAAGGCUCCAGAAGCCUCCCAGGAGAAACUAACAAGGAGAAGGGGAAGCAGGAUAGGGAAGAGGCCAAGCAAUGGAGGAGGCGUCAGGAAAAAGACUUUGGCGGCUACCCUGGAGCCCUCUUCUGGGCUGUUGAGGAGAUAAGGAAGGGGGGGGGCACAGAAAUGUUACGUAAUUUGCCGAAGGUCACCUACCUAGAAGUGUGAGAUUCAGGAUUUGAACUCUGGAAGAGACUGCACCCUUACCCACUACACUAUACUGAGGAAAAAAAAACAAAAAGAAGAAGAACAAAGACAAGCAUCCUGCUGAAAAUAUAAAGACGGAGAGAACAAGCUGACUUUUCCAAAUUCUCCUGAGAAAUUAUUGAAAACAUUUUGUUUACCAUGAAAGCGAUUUAACAUUUGGGGUUCCAAAAUACGAAAUAAUGGCAUGCGGAUUUAGUUAAACAUUGGCAAGAUGGCAGCCGUCUACUGAGGAGAAACACGGAAAAAACAGUGCGCAAGCAUAGGCACCUCGAAUCCACCCAAGAACACGAAUGGCAGCGAAGAGAACAUGAGCAUCUCGUCCUCUUCACCCCCCCCCAAAAAAACUUCCUCUUCCAAGUUCCACAUUUCCAAUGGCCUCCUGGACAUGUGCCACCUGAUGACCUGCCAGCAUCUUCAACAAACACAGCAACGCUCAAAAUGAACUCAUUUCUCAUUUCUAUUAUUUCCAUUACGAGACUUCCAGGAAUUUUGUAUCCGUUCCCUCUGUGUCACUAAGGCCCUCUUUUCUUUGUUCUUGCUUUGUCAUGUCUCUUUCGUCCAUCCCCUUUUCUGAAGCUGAUUGCUAUCACAUCUCCAGUCACUACUCUCUGGACCACUGAAGACAUCUCCCAACAGCUCUCCCUACCUUCAGGUUCUCCUCCCACCAAUCCUACAUUUACUACUCUUGGAUCAACCUUCCUAAACACAGCUUCCACCAGGAAUCUACCUCUGCUCGAAAACUUCCCAAGGUUUUCUGCUAACCACCAGGAAAAAAAUCUUAACUGUAUAGCCUAGUAUUCAAGCCCCUCCAGUCUGGUCCCUUCAAAUCCGAUAGUACACUCCUUCCCUAACCACUCCGGAAGAAAAGUGGAAAUGAAUGAACACCCCUACACAAACCCUCCAUUCCAUAAGAUGACAAGUAAAUCAUCUUAUUUACUGUCACCUUGUAAUCUGUCAUGUAUAUGCUCAUGUGCCCGACAUUUCCCCCUCUACCUGUCUAUAUUUAACCUUUCUUUUAGUCCCAACAUGAAUCCUGCCUCCUUCAUUCCUACCUUUCCUGCUUACUGAAAAUAUCUUACUUCACUCAAUAGCACUUACUGUCUAUAGCACCCCAUUUAGCACUUUAGUAGGAUGCUGUUCUGCAUCUUUAUCUGUUCCUGUGUGUUAUCUGACUUCACAGUUACAUGUGGAGUACGCUGUAUUCCCCAAACUCCACAAGGCCAGACACCAUGCAUUAUGUAUCUUUGCAAUCCUGACAGAUUAGUAAUAAUAAACAAAACAUUCAUUGAGUGUUUACCAUGUGCCAGGCUCUGUGCUAAAUGUUUUCUAGCAUUAUCUCAUUUAAUUCAAACAACAAAACAAGGUGGGUACUAUUACUAUCCCCUUUUCACAGAUGAAGAGAUUGAGGGUUAGAAAGGUUGUGUAACUGGCCCAAAAUCACGUAACUAGUAAGUGGCAGAGCUAGCACUCAAAUACAGGAUUAUGAGACUCAGGAGUCCCUGCUAAUAGUACCUUUCACAGAGUAAGUGCUGAACAUGUUUCUGAAUUAAUUAAGGCUAUGCCUCCCACCAAAGCAAUUGGGGUGUGUGGCAGGCAGAACAGUGGCCCCCAGAGAUGUCCACGUCUUGAUCCUCAGAGCCCAUGAAUAAGGCUUCCCCUUUUCCACCCUGACUGCACUAUUUUAAAAACCGUCUUACCAAGAGGGACAUGAAACUCCGAGGGAAAGCCACGUGUUAUUGACAGAAUUCUCUCAGGAAGAUUAUUACAAUCUAAACAUGUAUGGUAUCCUUUUAAAAUAUCAUUACCUAAUGCUUUUAUUCCAAAGCACUUCCCAUAUAUUGUCUUAGACAUCUGUGCCAGCCCUUCAGUGUACAUAAAUGACAGUUACAAGUGCAUACCAUGGCUUUUGCAUUGCAUUUUUUGAGUCAUUUCCAAGAAUUUUAUUCGUAAAAGGCCCAAAUAGCACUGUAGAAAAAUGUAUUUUUUCAAAAUAGCAGGAAAACCAACAGUUUAGUAUUUUUUGUACUGUUUUGAGCUGGUAGGUGGCUUUAGUAUAGACUCACAGACUCAGGCCCCUUUUCACUGGGCUUUUCUGACCCUAUGGCUUCUAAUUGUUUUUCUAGGGUCUUUAGCUGUGUCUGGGCUGUGGACACAUUUGGCAAGGUGGUGGGGAUGAGGGUGACACAUUGAUGGGGUUGGAGCUGGGAUCCAUAUUCCUAUUCCCCAAUCCCUGUUCAGCUGCCUCUGAUGGAUUUCCCAUAACCACGUGGGCCCUCACCCCCUCGGUCACUUCCCUUGUAAAUCAAUACUGGGUCCAUUACAUCUUAGCUAGGAUCAGUUUGAUGAGUAUGUGCCUAUAGCCACCCCCUCCCUGCUAUUUUCGAGGUACUUUACAUACAUACGUAUUAUCGCUUAACGUGCAGUUUAGCAUAAUGGUUAGAGCGUAGACUUUUCCUUUCCAGUCCCAGCCCUACCACUCAUCCGCUGUGCGGUUAACAUCUCUAGGACUCAGUCUUCCCAUUUGUGGAACGGCAAUUUUAAAAAGUGCUUCUUUAUAAGGUUGUUGUGAGGACUGAGUGCUUAGAAGAGUCCUGCAACAUAGUCGAUACCGCAUAAGGGGAGAAUUAGCGCGGCACAGGAAAGUAUCAACUUGCCCAAGGUCACCUAAAUUUAAUGAGGGGCAGAGGCAGGAUUUGGAGCCAGGUCAUUUUGUCUGCACCUACUUCCCACCCUGUGGCACUAUCUGACUUUUGUCCCUGA